Molecule: long non-coding RNA, 1061 nt
Filed under: Olea europaea subsp. europaea
Lineage: Eukaryota; Viridiplantae; Streptophyta; Magnoliopsida; Lamiales; Oleaceae
Source: RNAcentral
AAUGCCUCAUCUCUUUCGAAUCAAUUGUCUGCUAUUGAAACUUUGACUGGGAAUAACUAUGUAAGAUGGAAACGAGACAUAGAAAUAGCACUUGGUCUUUGGGACUUGGAUUUUGCAAUGGAGAAAAAUCUUGAAAAACCCAUAGAUAAGAGUACCGUUGAAUAUGUAGCCGAGCAUGAAAAGUGGGAAAGGGCUAACAAACUCUGUUUGAAAAUCAUUAAGCGAUCGAUAUCUGAUUCCAUUCGGAUGCCAUAGGAGAAAAAUUUGUUGAGUCUGAUAAAGCCGAAACUGGGGAUAUGAUGGAUAAAUUGAUGAGUAUGAGAUAUGAUGGCACAAAUGGUGUUAGGGAGCAUGUCAUGAAAAUGAUAAAUAUAUCAUCUAAGCUAAAGGCUCUUGACAUUUCCAUUGCGGAGCCUUUCCUAGUCUAUCAUGUUUUGAAUAGCCUUCCUAGCAAGUUUAAUCAACUUAAAGUUACUUACAAUGCUCAGCGGGAUAAAUGGAAUUUGAAUGACCUCAUAACAGUGUGUGCCCAAGAAGAGUAUAGGAUGCGCCGUGAAACUGUACAACUAGCUUUUCAGCCAUCACAGAAUAAGGGGCCUUCUCAUAAUCAUAAAUCUAAGUUUCGUAAGGGUAAUAAGUCCCAUCGAAGUCAGCAGAAUAAUAAUUUUAGUGGUCCCAAAUGAGUUAUAAAGAAAAAUGAUCAAUGUAAGUUCUGUAAAAAGAAAUGUCACUGACAGAAAGACUGUUUUAAAUUCAAGACUUGGUUGGAAAGGAAGAAGAGUUCUUCAGGUAUUCCCUUGGCCUUAAUUUGUUUUGAGUCUUCUUUAGUAGAUGUACCUCUGAUUUCUUGGUGGUUAGACUCGGGAGCUAGUAUUCAUAUUGCGAAUUCCUUGUAGGGGUUCAUAAGCAAACGGAGGUCAAGUGAGAAUGAAGUAAGCUUGAGCCUUGCAAAUGGAUUCCAAGUGAAGGUUGAAUUCAUAGGAGUAGUGAAGCUAACUUUAGAGUCCGAUUUUUAUCUUGUUUUGGAAAAUACAGUUUAUGUACCGCAGAUGAGACGGAGU